GCGGAGGAAAAGAAACCAACAGGGAUUGCCCUAGUAACGGCGAGUGAAGCGGCAACAGCUCAAAUUUGAAAUCUGGCGUCUUUGGCGUCCGAGUUGUAAUUUGCAGAGGGCGCUUUGGCAUUGGCAGCGGUCCAAGUUCCUUGGAACAGGACGUCACAGAGGGUGAGAAUCCCGUACGUGGUCGCUAGCCUUUACCGUGUAAAGCCCCUUCGACGAGUCGAGUUGUUUGGGAAUGCAGCUCUAAAUGGGAGGUAAAUUUCUUCUAAAGCUAAAUACUGGCCAGAGACCGAUAGCGCACAAGUAGAGUGAUCGAAAGAUGAAAAGCACUUUGGAAAGAGAGUUAAAAAGCACGUGAAAUUGUUGAAAGGGAAGCGCUUGCAGCCAGACUUGCCUGUAGUUGCUCAUCCGGGUUUUCACCCGGUGCACUCUUCUAUAGGCAGGCCAGCAUCAGUUUGGGCGGUUGGAUAAAGGUCUCUGUCAUGUACCUCUCUUCGGGGAGAACUUAUAGGGGAGACGACAUGCAACCAGCCUGGACUGAGGUCCGCGCAUCUGCUAGGAUGCUGGCGUAAUGGCUGUAAGCGGCCCGUCUUGAAAACACGGACCAAGGAGUCUAAACAUCUAUGCGAGUGUUUGGGUGUCAAGCCCGAACGCGUAAUGAAAGUGAACGGAGGUGGGAACCUUUCGGGGUGCACCAUCGACCGAUCCUGAUGUCUUCGGGAUGGAUUUGAGUAAGAGCAUAGCUGUUGGGACCCGAAAGAUGGUGAACUAUGCUUGAAUAGGGUGAAGCCAGAGGAAACUCUGGUGGAGGCUCGCAGCGGUUCUGACGUGCAAAUCGAUCGUCAAAUUUGGGCAUUAGGGCGAAGACUAAUCGACUAUCUAGUAGCUGGUACUGCUAG
This 896-nucleotide small RNA is filed under the name Phoma herbarum. RNAcentral describes it as "eukaryotic LSU rRNA". It matches the Rfam family "Eukaryotic large subunit ribosomal RNA", at positions 50 to 963 of the family's 3401-position model. The record is from RNAcentral. Lineage: Eukaryota; Fungi; Ascomycota; Dothideomycetes; Pleosporales; Didymellaceae.